This 251-nucleotide ribosomal RNA is filed under the name uncultured bacterium. Its description in RNAcentral is "partial 16S ribosomal RNA". It matches the Rfam family "Bacterial small subunit ribosomal RNA", at positions 524 to 774 of the family's 1533-position model. The record is from RNAcentral.
UACGAAGGGGGCUAGCGUUGCUCGGAAUCACUGGGCGUAAAGGGUGCGUAGGCGGGUCUUUAAGUCAGGGGUGAAAUCCUGGAGCUCAACUCCAGAACUGCCUUUGAUACUGAGGAUCUUGAGUUCGGGAGAGGUGAGUGGAACUGCGAGUGUAGAGGUGAAAUUCGUAGAUAUCGGGAGGAACACCGGUGGCGAAGGCGGCGACCUGGGUCGAUACUGACGCUGAUGCGCGAAAGCGUGGGGAGCAAACA